GAGGAACGCUGGCGGCGUGCCUAAUACAUGCAAGUCGAGCGAACGGACGAGAAGCUUGCUUCUCUGAUGUUAGCGGCGGACGGGUGAGUAACACGUGGAUAACCUACCUAUAAGACUGGGAUAACUUCGGGAAACCGGAGCUAAUACCGGAUAAUAUUUUGAACCGCAUGGUUCAAAAGUGAAAGACGGUCUUGCUGUCACUUAUAGAUGGACCCGCGCUGCAUUAGCUAGUUGGUAAGGUCACGGCCUACCAAGGCAACGAUGCAUAGCCGAUCUGAGUGGGUGGUCGGCUACACUGUAACUGAGACACGGGUCCGACUCCUACUCGGGUCCGCAGAGUUGAAUCUUCGCCGAUGGGCGAAUUCUUGACGGAGCAACGUCGCGUGCGUGAUGAAGGUCCUCGGAGCGUAAAACUCUGUUACUAGAGAAGAACAUAUGUGUACGUUACUGUGCACAUCUUGACGGUCCCUAAUCAGAAAUGAACGGCUAACUACGUG
This 497-nucleotide ribosomal RNA is filed under the name uncultured bacterium. RNAcentral's name for it is "partial 16S ribosomal RNA". It matches the Rfam family "Bacterial small subunit ribosomal RNA", at positions 28 to 507 of the family's 1533-position model. The record is from RNAcentral.